AUACGGAGGGUGCAAGCGUUGUUCGGAAUCACUGGGCGUAAAGGGCGCGCAGGCGGUUUGGCAAGUCAGAUGUGAAAGCCCAUGGCUCAACCAUGGAAGUGCAUUUGAAACUGUCAGACUUGAGUACUAGAGGGGAAAGUGGAAUUCCCGGUGUAGAGGUGAAAUUCGUAGAUAUCGGGAGGAAUACCGGUGGCGAAGGCGACUUUCUGGCUAGAUACUGACGCUGAGGCGCGAAAGCGUGGGGAGCAAACAGGAUUAGAUACCCGAGUAGUCC
RNAcentral lists this ribosomal RNA (274 nucleotides) under uncultured bacterium. RNAcentral's name for it is "partial 16S ribosomal RNA". It matches the Rfam family "Bacterial small subunit ribosomal RNA", at positions 523 to 796 of the family's 1533-position model. The record is from RNAcentral.